UACGAGGGGGGCGAGCGUUGUUCGGAAUUAUUGGGCGUAAAGGGCGCGUAGGCGGUUGGACAAGUCUCAUGUGAAAUCUUCAGGCUCAACUUGAAGUCUGCAUGGGAAACUGUCCGGCUGGAGUGUGGGAGAGGUGCGUGGAAUUUCCGGUGUAGCGGUGAAAUGCGUAGAUAUCGGAAGGAACACCUGUGGCGAAAGCGGCGCACUGGACCAUAACUGACGCUGAGGCGCGAAAGCUAGGGGAGCAAACAGG
RNAcentral lists this ribosomal RNA (253 nucleotides) under uncultured bacterium. RNAcentral's name for it is "partial 16S ribosomal RNA". It matches the Rfam family "Bacterial small subunit ribosomal RNA", at positions 524 to 776 of the family's 1533-position model. The record is from RNAcentral. RNAcentral also lists the same sequence under 1 other name.